GCGGUUGUUCUGUUAUAGCAUUUGUUAACACUCCAUUAAUUCAGGCUGGGAGUGUCUAUUUAGGACAGAGACCAGACAGAAAACCUCGAGGAGUUCUGUAAUCAAGAGAGCCCCCAAUCUAUCAGUGGUUUCCAAGGGUAUUUCAGUUCUUGGCUGGAAGGAAUUAAAUUACACAAGGUACGGAUGCAACCAGGCUUGGAUGAGAUCACAAUGACGGGGUGGAAGAACCUGAAGCAACGGCUGUCAUUCAAGGGCCUGGGUAGUUGCUGUGGGAGCGCAAGCUGGAGUUCCAGAAGUAUCACCCAAACCAUGCCCUUUAUCGAUAUAGAGCAAGAAGAAGAGGAAGAGCCCAUCAUGCAAAACCAAGCUCAAAGAGGAGGAGCAGCAGCAGCAGCGCCAGGUGCUGGGAUGAAUCUGGCAAUGGCAUUAGCUGCUGAGCGCAAUUUAGGGGAUUCAAAUGUCAAGACAUUGAUGAGUUUGAUCGAAGAAACGGACGGUGUUGAUUGGGGGAAGAAGAAUAACAGUAAUGAUAAAAGUAGGAGGGACAAGGAACAGGAACAGAAGCAGGAUGAAGAGAAGGAUUGGGUAUGCUGCGUUUGCAUGGAGAGAAAUAAAGGCGCAGCUUUUAUUCCAUGUGGACACACCUUUUGUAGGGUUUGUUCAAGGGAAAUGUGGGUUAAUCGAGGGUGCUGUCCUAUCUGCAACCGUUCCAUUCUCGACAUCCUUGAUAUCUUCUAGUAAUCAGCAGAGGCUGAGAAGAUUCUUUCAAUGUCUUGUCUUCGAGUUCAAACCCAGGCAUGCCGAAUUAUUUAAGAGAUGAGCCGGCAGAGUUUGAUAUUUACUGGCCUUUGGUGAGCAAUCUAGUCAAUUGCCGAGUGUCAAGUGCCUAAUACAUGAUGCAUGCAGCAGCACAUUAAUUUAUAAUUGAGCCGCUGCGGUUCUGUUUGUAGCGUGCUCUCUUACAGGC
This is an RNA transcript of Populus euphratica (Euphrates poplar), 967 nucleotides long. It is a transcript of the gene named E3 ubiquitin-protein ligase RNF34-like, with no coding region annotated. NCBI's taxonomy places the organism in Eukaryota, Viridiplantae, Streptophyta, Magnoliopsida, Malpighiales, Salicaceae. The record is from RefSeq and is a predicted model, not a curated record. The transcript is spliced from 3 exons.